RNAcentral lists this ribosomal RNA (392 nucleotides) under Babesia sp. HLJ-8. RNAcentral describes it as "SSU rRNA". It matches the Rfam family "Eukaryotic small subunit ribosomal RNA", at positions 439 to 901 of the family's 1831-position model. The record is from RNAcentral. Lineage: Eukaryota; Apicomplexa; Aconoidasida; Piroplasmida; Babesiidae.
AAUUACCCAAUCCUGACACAGGGAGGUAGUGACAAGAAAUAACAAUACAGGGCAUAUGUCUUGUAAUUGGAAUGAUGCCGACUUAAACCCUCGGCAGAGUACCAAUUGGAGGGCAAGUCUGGUGCCAGCAGCCGCGGUAAUUCCAGCUCCAAUAGCGUAUAUUAAACUUGUUGCAGUUAAAAAGCUCGUAGUUGAAUUUGAGCUUGCGCGCGCAGCCGUUUUCGGAUUUCGCCGCUUGCUUUUUUGUUACUUUGAGAAAAUUAGAGUGUUUCAAGCAGACUUUUGUCUUGAAUACUUCAGCAUGGAAUAAUAGAGUAGGACCUUGGUUCUAUUUUGUUGGUUUUUGAGCCUUGGUAAUGGUUAAUAGGAACGGUUGGGGGCUGCGUAUUUAA